AACGCGAAGAACCUUACCUACACUUGACAUGCCAAGAAGAUUUCAGAGAUGAGAUUGUGCCUUCGGGAACUUGGACACAGGUGCUGCAUGGCUGUCGUCAGCUCGUGUCGUGAGAUGUUGGGUUAAGUCCCGUAACGAGCGCAACCCUUAUCCUUAUUUGCCAGCGCGUAAAGGCGGGAACUUUAAGGAGACUGCCGGUGAUAAACCGGAGGAAGGUGGGGAUGACGUCAAGUCAUCAUGGCCUUUAUGUGUAGGGCUACACACGUGCUACAAUGGGCGGUACAGAGGGUAACGAAGUCGCGAGACGGAGUCAAUCUCAGAAAACCGUCCUUAGUCCGGAUUGGAGUCUGCAACUCGACUCCAUGAAGCUGGAAUCGCUAGUAAUCGCGGAUCAGAAUGCCGCGGUGAAUACGUUCCCGGGCCUUGUACACACCGUAGAGAC
This 442-nucleotide ribosomal RNA is filed under the name uncultured bacterium. RNAcentral describes it as "bacterial SSU rRNA". It matches the Rfam family "Bacterial small subunit ribosomal RNA", at positions 958 to 1400 of the family's 1533-position model. The record is from RNAcentral.